CCAACUAUACGUACUGUGUACCUGAUAAAUCCCAUACAUGAUACAGAACGACUCAACAAUCCUGGACAACUCUGUAGGCUUAACUACUGCUACUCAGAUAUGUCAAUCUGAAAUGGCCCUCAGGGCCUAUACCAGGGACUACCAUCUGCUGUGGCUCAAGGGAUUGAAACCCUUUUUAAUCUAUAACACAUCCCACUGGUAUCUCAUUCAAGCCAUGCAUUAAGCCUAAC
RNAcentral lists this long non-coding RNA (230 nucleotides) under Manihot esculenta (cassava). RNAcentral describes it as "long non-coding RNA (MESC_LNC012767)". The record is from RNAcentral. Lineage: Eukaryota; Viridiplantae; Streptophyta; Magnoliopsida; Malpighiales; Euphorbiaceae.